UAUGCUUUGUUGGCUUGCUGGAAUAUUUAAAUUUAAUAAGUUAAAUGUAUAAAUGCUAGAAUGUACCGUCUCUAGCCUUGUUUCAGUUCCAGUUGAGCUUGCAUUUUUUGGUAGAUUUAGGUGGUAUACUAUCAAGUUUAGGGUUCUGAAAUAAUUGCUUAGCUUCAUAAUCAAUUUUUUUUUGGUUAUUUUUCAUUUACUAGCUAUUAUUG
This 212-nucleotide unclassified non-coding RNA is filed under the name Hevea brasiliensis (rubber tree). Lineage: Eukaryota; Viridiplantae; Streptophyta; Magnoliopsida; Malpighiales; Euphorbiaceae. The record is from RNAcentral.